GACGGCCUUUCGGGUUGUAAACCUCUUUCAGUAGGGAAGAAGCGAAAGUGACGGUACCUGCAGAAGAAGCGCCGGCUAACUACGUGCCAGCAGCCGCGGUAAUACGUAGGGCGCAAGCGUUAUCCGGAAUUAUUGGGCGUAAAGAGCUCGUAGGCGGUUUGUCGCGUCUGCCGUGAAAGUCCGGGGCUCAACUCCGGAUCUGCGGUGGGUACGGGCAGACUAGAGUGAUGUAGGGGAGACUGGAAUUCCUGGUGUAGCGGUGAAAUGCGCAGAUAUCAGGAGGAACACCGAUGGCGAAGGCAGGUCUCUGGGCAUUAACUGACGCUGAGGAGCGAAAGCAUGGGGAGCGAACAGGAUUAGAUACCCUGGUAGUCCAUGCCGUAAACGUUGGGCACUAGGUGUGGGGGACAUUCCACGUUUUCCGCGCCGUAGCUAACGCAUUAAGUGCCCCGCCUGGGGAGUACGGCCGCAAGGCUAAAACUCAAAGGAAUUGACGGGGGCCCGCACAAGCGGCGGAGCAUGCGGAUUAAUUCGAUGCAACGCGAAGAACCUUACCAAGGCUUGACAUGAACCGGAAAGACCUGGAAACAGGUGCCCCGCUUGCGGUCGGUUUACAGGUGGUGCAUGGUUGUCGUCAGCUCGUGUCGUGAGAUGUUGGGUUAAGUCCCGCAACGAGCGCAACCCUCGUUCUAUGUUGCCAGCACGUGAUGGUGGGGACUCAUAGGAGACUGCCGGGGUCAACUCGGAGGAAGGUGGGGACGACGUCAAAUCAUCAUGCCCCUUAUGUCUUGGGCUUCACGCAUGCUACAAUGGCCGGUACAAAGGGUUGCGAUACUGUGAGGUGGAGCUAAUCCCAAAAAGCCGGUCUCAGUUCGGAUUGGGGUCUGCAACUCGACCCCAUGAAGUCGGAGUCGCUAGUAAU
RNAcentral lists this ribosomal RNA (922 nucleotides) under Arthrobacter sp. 171. Its description in RNAcentral is "bacterial SSU rRNA". It matches the Rfam family "Bacterial small subunit ribosomal RNA", at positions 410 to 1342 of the family's 1533-position model. The record is from RNAcentral. Lineage: Bacteria; Bacillati; Actinomycetota; Actinomycetes; Micrococcales; Micrococcaceae.